Molecule: Y RNA, 93 nt
Filed under: Colobus angolensis palliatus
Lineage: Eukaryota; Metazoa; Chordata; Mammalia; Primates; Cercopithecidae
Description: Y RNA (ENSCANG00000002473.1)
Rfam family: Y RNA
About the family: Y RNAs are components of the Ro ribonucleoprotein particle (Ro RNP), in association with Ro60 and La proteins. The Y RNAs and Ro60 and La proteins are well conserved, but the function of the Ro RNP is not known. In humans the RNA component can be one of four small RNAs -- hY1, hY3, hY4 and hY5.
Source: Rfam by way of RNAcentral
GGCUGGUCCAAUGAUAGUGGGUUAUCAGAACUUAUUAACAUUAGUCACUAAAUUUGGUAGACAAUCCCCCCUGCUAAAUUUGACUGGCUAAAU